Molecule: ribosomal RNA, 424 nt
Filed under: Neisseria mucosa
Lineage: Bacteria; Pseudomonadati; Pseudomonadota; Betaproteobacteria; Neisseriales; Neisseriaceae
Description: bacterial SSU rRNA
Rfam family: Bacterial small subunit ribosomal RNA
Source: RNAcentral
AUUGAACGCUGGCGGCAUGCUUUUACACAUGCAAGUCGGACGGCAGCACAGAGAAGCUUGCUUCUUGGGUGGCGAGUGGCGAACGGGUGAGUAACAUAUCGGAACGUACCGAGCAGUGGGGGAUCAACUAAUCGAAAGAUUAGCUAAUACCGCAUAUAUUCUGAGGAAGAAAGCAGGGGACCAUUUGGCCUUGCGCUGUUUGAGCGGCCGAUAUCUGAUUAGCUAGUUGGUGGGGUAAAGGCCUACCAAGGCGACGAUCAGUAGCGGGUCUGAGAGGAUGAUCCGCCACACUGGGAUGAGACACGGCCCAGCCCGGGUGGGGAAUUUUGGACAAUGGGCGCAAGCCUGAUCCAGCCAUGCCGCCGUGUCUGAAGAAGGCCUUCGGGUUGUAAAGGACUUUUGUCAGGAAAGAAAAAGGCGGGGU